GUGCUCGCUUCGGCAGCACAUAUACUAAAAUUGGAACGAUACAGAGAUUAGCAUGGCCCCUGCGCAAGAAUGACACGCAAAUUUGUGAAGCGUUCCAUUUUUUU
RNAcentral lists this small nuclear RNA (104 nucleotides) under Prolemur simus (greater bamboo lemur). Lineage: Eukaryota; Metazoa; Chordata; Mammalia; Primates; Lemuridae. The record is from RNAcentral.